Molecule: ribosomal RNA, 497 nt
Filed under: uncultured bacterium
Lineage: Bacteria
Description: partial 16S ribosomal RNA
Rfam family: Bacterial small subunit ribosomal RNA
Source: RNAcentral
GAUGAACGCUGGCGGCGUGCCUAAUACAUGCAAGUCGAGCGAACAGACGAGGAUCUUGCUCCUCUGACGUUAGCGGCGGACGGGUGAGUAACACGUGUAUAACCUACCUAUCAGACUGGGAUCACUUCGGGAAACCGGAGCUAAUACCGUAUAAUAUAUUGCUCCGCAUGGUUCAAUAGUGAAAUACGGUUCUUCUGUCACUUAUAGAUGCAUCUGGGCUGCAUUAGCUAGUUGGUAAGGUAACAGCUUACCAAGGCAACGAUGCGUAGACGACCUGAGAGAGUGAUAGGCGACACUGGAACUGAGACAGGGUCAAGACUCCUAAGGGAGGCAGCAGUAGGGAAUCUUCAGCAAUGGGCGAAAGCAUGACGGAGCAAGGGCGCGUGAGAGAUGAAGGUGUUCGGAGCGUAAAAAUGUGUUAUUAGGGAAGAACAAAUGUGUAAGGAAAUAUGCACGUAGUGACGGUACCUAAUAAGAAAGCAACGGCUAACUACGUG